Molecule: ribosomal RNA, 253 nt
Filed under: uncultured bacterium
Lineage: Bacteria
Description: partial 16S ribosomal RNA
Rfam family: Bacterial small subunit ribosomal RNA
Source: RNAcentral
UACAGAGGGGGCAAGCGUUGUUCGGAAUUACUGGGUGUAAAGGGCGCGUAGGCGGCCUUCUAAGUCGAACGUGAAAUCCCCGGGCUCAACCCGGGAACUGCGUCCGAUACUGGAAGGCUUGAAUCCGGGAGAGGGAUGCGGAAUUCCAGGUGUAGCGGUGAAAUGCGUAGAUAUCUGGAGGAACACCGGUGGCGAAGGCGGCAUCCUGGACCGGCAUUGACGCUGAGGCGCGAAAGCCAGGGGAGCAAACGGG